Raphanus sativus (radish) is the source of this 541-nucleotide long non-coding RNA. RefSeq lists it as uncharacterized. The transcript is spliced from 5 exons. The record is from RefSeq and is a predicted model, not a curated record. Lineage: Eukaryota; Viridiplantae; Streptophyta; Magnoliopsida; Brassicales; Brassicaceae.
UUUAACCAAUACACUCCAGAUAUUAUUAUUUUUACAUGUUUCUGACAAAUUUGCUGUUUAUAAAAAAAAUACAGUACCAUAUGGCGAUUGAAGAAAGGAAAUGGGAUCUUCAACGAUUCGACUAAUCAUCAUCUCCAAUAUCUGAUAAAGUCAAAGCCAAUCUGAUGCAUUCAUAGAAAGAUAAGGAUACUUUACGACAAAAGGAAACAAAAAGCUCUCUCUCAACGGUAGGUUAAUUUUUCGUAGAAAGAUGAAGAAGGCUAUCUCCGACCGAAGAACUUAAACCGAUCCUUAAAGGUGUGUAUGAUUUUGGUUUGAAUCAAGUUGUUUCCCAUGGCCUAAUCUCAUCAAGGUUUAAAUAUUGAUGAUGUACGGGUGAAGAAGAAAGAUGUGAAGAGGAUGUUGCGAUUUCUGACUCUGUUUUAUUUUCAUAUUUGCUUUGUAAGUCAUAUUUUUCACAGUUUUUGGAGUAUCAAAAUUCUGUUUGUAAUCAGUUAACGUAGGAUAAUCGUUUAAAUCCAACAAAUAUUUGAUCACAGAA